ACACCUGAACGUUCCCAUACUCGAAGUGUUAGACAAUUUUGGUUCCACACUUUGAAGCCUGUCGAGGAGUGUGGCACUAUAUUGUUUUUCGCUGUCUCCUUUCUUUCACUACAAAAUUGCUUUUGCCCUGUCUUUGGCGUAUUCAUAUGAGUUUGGCCUUUGCUGGAGGCGGAGGUGUGUGCGCAAGCGUUAUCGUGUUUUGUGAAGUGAUUCUUUGCUCCGUGAAUCCCAUCGAGUCGAUCAGCUGAUGGAAAGAGUUUGGCCGUGAAGCGGAAAGGGUGAAGCCGGAGUUAAACCGCAGGAUGGCAGGACAAAUCACAUCGGAGAGAGUGCUGAAUAUUCGACGUCUUGAGAGAAACCACUGACGAACCCCAUCUCACCGUCCGCUUCGCAGAACGCCGGCAGUUUUUUUACCUGAUCGUUCAGCGACCGCUUGCGCAUGAUGAGCGUAGGUGCAAUAAAAAAAGGGAUCGUAUGUAUUUCCUUGUAAUUAUUUCGUUCACGGUCGUGGUGUGCUCGGGACGAGGGUGUCCCGAAUGCAGCAAUAGGAAAGAAAGGGAAAGCGAGAAAGAACAAAAAAGCGAAGGAAAGAACGGGACAAAAUAAAGCUAAUUUUUUGGCUUCCCGGCUUAUUAUAAAUAAGCUUGGGAGCUUCCAUGCUUGCAAGCUUGCAUGCUCGUAUGCAAGCGUACAUGCGCCCCGCCCCCU
Molecule: long non-coding RNA, 708 nt
Organism: Anopheles funestus (African malaria mosquito)
Lineage: Eukaryota; Metazoa; Arthropoda; Insecta; Diptera; Culicidae
Exons: 3
Source: RefSeq, a predicted model, not a curated record